RNA transcript from Carassius auratus (goldfish), 3219 nucleotides. It is a transcript of the gene named toll-like receptor 2 type-2, with no coding region annotated. The record is from RefSeq and is a predicted model, not a curated record. NCBI's taxonomy places the organism in Eukaryota, Metazoa, Chordata, Actinopteri, Cypriniformes, Cyprinidae. The transcript has 2 exons.
GGUUUAUGCCUCUAUUCACCUUUGCACUUUCAUCAGAGCAAUUGCUAAGGUCUAAAAGAGAAGGACAUUAUAUAUCAUGCCAGAAAAAACCCUUAUCAAGAUAUUUUAUCCAUAAAACAUAAAAGCAAGUAAUCAACAUAAAACCAUAAACAUGACAGCUCAAUAUCCCUCUCUAACAUUUUCAACAUGAGGAUCCCAGUAUUUUAUCACAGGGCUCUAAAUAUUUGCUGUGCCUUGAAUUAUGAAAAGCACUGCGGUUGCUACACCACAAGAUUGAUGUAGAGAUGCUUUAUAGUAAAAAAAAAAAUUAAGCAAAUUCAUGUCUUGCUUAAAAAAAGGCUACUUCCUCUUUUCGAAUCCUUAAUUCAGUGUUUAGUGAAGUGAAAAUAAAACGGAAUCUGAAAUAGCUUUACAAAAAAAUAUUUGCAUAAAAGCCAUGUAAGACAUUUGAGGCAGUCUGAUUACAUAUCACCCAACUAUAGAUAUAUACAGUAUGAAGCAUGCGGGAUGUAAGUACACAUGCUCUGAGACUGGUCUCUAUGGGUGGUUCCCUAAAAUCUAUGUUCCCGAUAAAAGAGACAUGAUUUUGUAAGGCUCAAUCAGGCUAUUGAGUCACUACAUCCUGUGACUCACUCUGUGUUUGCAUGCUUGAUUUCUGUUUGUUUUCUCCUUUUAUGACAACGGCCAAUCUGCAGUUUUUCGUAGAAAAGAGGACAAGACUUAAUAAUAAUGGCAGUCAGGAUGAGACCCUUGGAAGCAAAGGAGUCCGUAAUACUUUUUUUAAUAAUUUUGGCCCAAGGCUUUGACUACUCCUGGACAUGUUAUUGUGAUCAGCAAUAUUUUUGCAACUGUUCAUUAAAUCAUCUCCAAAAGGUCCCUAAAGUUCCAGUGAAUGCUCUUGGCCUUGACCUGUCAUUCAAUCAAAUUGAGUCUAUUGACAUGAAUGAUCUCAGCCCAUAUAGUGAGCUGAAAACCCUGAACUUGCACAAGAACAAGCUCAAGUUUAUACACAAGGAGGCUUUCAAAUCUCAACAUAAGCUGGAAGUUCUUGAUCUGUCCUUAAACAGCCUAGAAAAGCUAUCUUCAUCUUGGUUCCACGAGCUAAACUCUCUCCAGCAACUGAACCUUGUAGAAAACCCAUACACCACCGUGGGACCUGCUCCCAUUUUCCAGUCUCUCUUUAACCUAAGAACGCUGCAGUUUGGUAGUCCUUCACUGAGAGAGGUGUACAAGAAUGGCUUAGAUGGGAUCACUCUUCUGGAUGAGAUGACAUUCAUUGGCAGUAACCUCAAGUCAUAUGAGAACGGCAGCUUUAAAGCAGCCCGUCCAAUCGGUUCAGUCUCUUUGAGCCUUCAGAGUCCAUUUCAGAACGAUCCAGAAUUAGUCUCUAAGGUUCUUAAAGAUGUCUCCCACCCUAAAACUCGGCUGACUAUCAAAAAUGUUGAACUCAGAACGAACACUUCGACAGAAUCCUUUAAAGCGGCAAGAGAAGGUGGGACUGAAAGCUUGAGUUUCCCUAAUUGCACCACAACUGAUGAAGCAUUUACCUCUUUUUUGGUGGUCAUGGAUAAUUCUUCUUUGUCUUACAUUGGUCUUGAAGAAGUACAUUUGAUUGGUUAAGGGUGGUGGCAGAAAGCUUCGUACACACAUUAUGAACACUUACAUACAGCCUACAUACGUAAUCUUGACAUCCAAGGGUUCUUUGAGUUCAGUAGCAUGAAGCAAUUGGGAUUUCUGCUGGUGAAUCUCCACAAGGUGUCCGUGAUCAACGGCACAGUGUUUGUUAUUCCUCCGAUAACUACAGUCUUGUUGAAAAAACUUGAAUAUUUAGACCUGAGUCAGAACCUCCUUUCAGACCUGACAAUUGCACCGACGUUAUCUACGAGUUUUGGUGCAUAUCAAAACCUCCUCACUCUUAACGUGAGCCAGAACGUUUUAAAAUCCCUUGGGCUGAUGUCUCAGUUGACCACUAACCUUAAGAGCCUCACAGAUUUAGACUUGAGCCAUAACAGUUUUGUUUCUAUGCCAGAAAAGUGUAGCUGGCCAGCGACUCUCAGGUUUCUGAACCUUUCCAGCACAAAGCUACGUAAGAUGACCCCAUGCCUGCCUUCUAGCUUGACAGUCCUGGAUCUCAGUGAAAACGAUCUGAUGGUGUUCAACCAAAGAUUUCCCCAACUCAUUACGCUUAUACUGACAGGCAACCGAUUUAAAAAACUCCCGCAGGGGGAAUUAUUUCCAACACUGCAGACACUGCUUAUAAAAAGGAACGCCUUGCGGAUGUUUAACAGUAGUGAUUUGAAGAGAUUCAAAAACCUACAAUAUUUGGAGGCAGGGGAUAACAAUUUUGUGUGCUCCUGUGAAUUUGUAUCUUUCUUUAAACGGGAUGUUAAACUUUUCAUCACCCUAAGGGACAGUCGUCGCAGUUACGUGUGCGACACUCCGUUCACUCUCAGAGGUGAUUCUAUUGACAGUGUCAGAUUGUCCGUUUUCGAGUGCUAUAUGAUCCCUGCUGUCUCAGUACUUUGUUUUGUGAUUAUCAUAGCGCUUGGACUUAUUGUUGUUACUUGCCAUAAGCUUCACGUUAUAUGGUAUCUGCAGAUGACAAAAGCAUGGAUACAAGCCAAAAGAAAACCUGCAGUUGGUCGACUGGCCGAUGAGCUCCGCUAUGAUGCUUUUGUAUCUUACAGUCAACAUGACGCUGAGUGGGUCGAGGAAAUCCUUGUUCCAGAACUAGAGAGCACUCAGCCUCCAUUUGCCCUGUGUUUGCACAAACGGGACUUCCAGCCGGGCCGCUGGAUCGUGGACAACAUCAUCGACUCGAUUGAGAAAAGCCAUCGGACUCUCUUUGUUCUGUCUGAGCACUUUGUUACCAGCGAAUGGUGCCGUUACGAGCUGGACUUCUCACAUUUCCGCAUAGUAGAUGAACACAAUGACUCCGCUGUCCUGGUACUUCUAGAACCAAUCAAGAAGGAGACCAUUCCCAAACGUUUCUGCAAGCUGAGGAAGAUUAUGAACUCCAGGACGUAUCUGGAGUGGCCGGAGGAGGAGGAAAAGAGAAGCGAGUUCUGGAGCAAUCUGAGAGCUGCUCUACACAGAGAGGAAUGUUAAUGGCUUGCCAGGUUGUGUGACAAAUAUAGAUUAAUCUAAAAUGGCCAAGUACCAAAAUGCAAUGUCUGUAUGAUGCAUUACUUUAAUUUGCAUGCUUACUCUAUAUACAGG